Varroa destructor (honeybee mite) is the source of this 2050-nucleotide long non-coding RNA. The record is from RefSeq and is a predicted model, not a curated record. NCBI's taxonomy places the organism in Eukaryota, Metazoa, Arthropoda, Arachnida, Mesostigmata, Varroidae.
UGAAAAAGCUUUUCAUCCUCUCACUCAUCGCUUUUGUGUGUGCGUAGCCCGCAUAUAUUCACUUUAUUUGUUCAAGUGCUUUGCAUGUGUUUAACAUACGCAGAGCAUCGUCUGCUAGGCCUUCUACAUAGCGUAUGCAUGUCUGAUGGUGUUGUGUCGAUUCAGUAUGAGUUAUCUCGGAAAUCACCAUGUCAUAUGAGAAACCGUGUCGCAAAGUACAUCAAUUCACCCGCGGUUGAUCAAACCAUGUCUGAGCGUUUGCCAUAUUGCCCCUGAUGGUGACACUUCAAAACUAUUUAAAUGCUCCGUCGUUUUGGCAAAUAUUCGACGUGACCGCUGCAAUGUUUCCUAUAAACAGCUCAUCGAUAUGAGCUGUUUGAUACGUUUUACUCGUCCAGUCUGAUACGUCUUCACUCAAGCAGCUUUUGGACGUUCACAGUUUGCUAGAAGACUGGAGUAUUGAUCGGCCAAAUUUCCUCUGUUGCAACAGUCGGUCGCUCCAUCAAGCUUCUGGCUUAACCCUGGCAACGCUACAAUGAUCUUUGCCGUAUUGCUCGGCUCAGCGUUUCAGUAGGAGUGUGCAAGUUUGGGUAUAAACCUUUGAUGUCUGCUAAUUGACUAUGUGCGUGUGUACACUAAUAAACAGUCGCAGAUUCUUUUAGUGUGCAGACACACAAUUCCAUCUAUGCACCUGACUAUAUUUUUCACACAGUUAUGAGUAUACAGCAAUUAUUGUGCUUAAUUUAGAUCCCACAGAAUUAGAUAUUUUUACCUGAUUCUAUAUGUAGGCCACCAAUUAUAACCACAUAAGCAACUGUAGGAAAGCACCGGCUGCUAAGUAACGAGUUACAUACGCAAUAAGAACGACAGAAUUACCCAGGCACCUAGCAGAAUUCUACGGGAUAAUUAGCUUCAAAUACACAAUUAGUAGAUCUGACAUAUAACUCAUAUGCAAUUUUCGGUAAUAAGUAGAUUAUUACAUUACACAGAUCCUAAAUUCGGUAUAUAAUGUAGUGAGUGAUUAACAAUGUCUUCGUUAUUGCUAAUCAGGGGGCUACGUUGGGUACGACGGCGGCCAAGAGAUAUUGGCCGUACGCCUUAUUGCAAAUUGUCAGAAAAAUGAACAACAGUGCAAUCGCCAAAAAAUGUAAAAAAAUGACAAAGUAUCGCAAUGUAUUAGAGCAAACUAAAUCAUCGAAGCGUCUUGGAAAUUGUAAUGAGUGAAUAUCUGGUAUCUAGUAAUUAUUUAAUAACGCUAAUUUUGUGCUCCCAAAUCUAUCACAAAUGUGUCGCACUGUGUAAUAAAUUGCUAUAUAACUACUGCUAGAGGAACCGACUUGGCCUGUUUAUAAUUUAGAUAAAAAAGAGGCCAUAAAAUAAAGUGGUUCUACGUAGGAUGAAUUUUAUGAGUCUACAAAGGUACUUCUAUCGUAUAAUUAAAACGAUAAUAUUCUCAGCCUGUCCACAGUGCAGUACAUUUCUCGUCUUCGGUUGGAAAAAAACAAAGCUACUAGCAUUGUUUUUUUUCGAACUAGGGGUGUAACGGUUGAAUUAGAGCGAAAGCAGUCUCUAAAAACUAAUGAUAGAUGAAAUAUUUUGAGCAUAGACGGCGACGCAUGAUAUUAUGGAUGGAGUUCCUCUCGUCUCGCUGCGACACUGAUGCCGUUAUAAAUGCAAUUUAUUCACUCGACAUUUCGUUUUUAUAUAGCGGUGUCCAUGGAACUGCUUAAAUCUUACCUGGUACAGGAGUCACCAAAGUCGCUUGGCGUUAAUUUCGGAUUUCAAUGCUGCACUAGGCACUCCACCAUAGGAUGCAACUAUUUGAAAAUUCAACGAAGUUGGAGUUUUGCUGCGAACUUUACAGAUUUUGGUAUCAAUUAAAUCAGGGAAUUCGAUCAUAUGGUGAAACUAUUUAACAAUUUAAAUUCAAGCAGCGAACACGCGUCGCUUAGUUACCCUCCUGUUCGCCGAAGUUAAGGAUCUAAAAAGUGCAAUGCAAACAAAACAUCCGUUUGUUAAUGCUAUAGAAUAAACGGACGACGUCGUCAUG